CUGAGUUCAAACCUUAGCCUCGGCAUGGUGCUCUACCCAACUUUUUCUUUUUUUAGUACUUGGAAAACAUUAACAUCUAUAAUAAAUCCAAAAAUCUCAUCCAUUAUUCUGUAAGAGACCAACAUACAAAAUUGACGAAACACAAAGUCACGGUCUCACAACAUGUAAUUAAACGGGCUACACGUGUUUCGCUCUAGUUAGAGCAUCAUCAGGCCUUUAGAAGCCAUCCACACACUUAUGCUGUAACUGAUGAUGCUCUAACUAGAGCGAAACACGUGUAGCCCGUUUAAUUACAUGUUGUGAGACCGUGACUUUGUGUUUUUCUUUGUUUUUCGUCAAUCUAUAGUAAAUACAGAGAGAAAAGGAAAGGUCUUAUUAUAUAUUAUAAUCAAAAAUAAAUUUCAUUGAAAUAUUACUAACUUAUUUCUGGGUAUCAUGCUUCAGAGAACCAUGAUGUGUUACAAUACGCUCCGCUCUUUAAUUUUAGUUUAGUAGAAAAUAUUCUCAAAACCUACAUAUAUCAAAAUUAUGUCAGGGUUCUAAAAUGAAUCGGUAAUAAAAUCGUAAACCAGAUCAACAUUGGAAAUAAUUUAAAAAAUUUGCUUUGGUCCGAUUGAAAAAAGUACUAUACUACCAAAUAGUUACAUCUAUUCUGUAGCAAUAAAAGUUAUAAAAUUCUGUCUAUUAUUAAUUUUAAUAUUAUAAAGUGUAUCGUUUAACUCUUAGCCAUUAUUUAUAAUUUAAUUGUUAAUUAUGCCUAAAAAAACGAAUUAACAACUUUGGUAUUGUUUGGAAGGUAAACAGCUUAAUUCCUUUAUGUAAAGCCACCUUAACAUGUUUUUGCAUAAUUCUGACUCACGUUGGUUGCUAUCGGGCUUAAGCCAUAAAAAUCGAAGAAAAAAAGAAGAAGACGAAGAGACUUUCACUUGUCAUUUCAAUGUCACUUUCCGGCCCACAAGCAUAAACGCCACCGGCAACGGAAGUUCCCAAAAUCCAAACAAAUGUUGGAAGAUAUUUUUAAGUCUCCGCAUCUUUCUUACUUUCCUAUAUGAAAAUAAAAUGUAAGUAUCACAAUUACACACAUACAAGUUUUUUUUUUAAUUCAGUUUCAUAAUUACCAAUUUUUAGUGAAUAAUCCUGAAAUUUAUGAAAAUACAUACAUUUUAAGGUUAUGUCAUAAUGUUUUGAUUGUUAUAUUUGAUUUUGUUUUUGUUAUUUUAGUGGACUACACCAACAAAGGUUAUGUGUUUUGCACCAGAUUGAAAGCAUCAUAGCGAAAAACGGACCUGUCAUAUCUUUAAAUUUUCAAAAGAGCCCCUGGAAAAAGAAAAAUGAAUAUCUUUGCCAAGGAAUAGGCAAAUGGAUAAAAAACCUUCAGUCCAUGCAUUGGUAUGUAAUUGUUGACAAAAAUACAAUGAAUGGCCUCACUACUUUUCCACAUGCAAAGAGGUUAACCAAGGAGAAAUUAAAGAAAUUGUCAAAAACCUAGGUAAAUACAGAAUUGCUUAGUACAAACAUAUCUAUACCCAGUACAAGUUCGUCCACUUCUUUGAAGCAUGGUACUUCAAACAGAGACACUGUCAACAAUUUUGUAGAAGGUGAGCCGGUGUCAAAUUCCAGUAAGGGACAUGAUUUCAAUUUUGCACCAACAGCAGAGCUUAAAUUCAUUUUGCCGCAAAAAACUGGAGGAUGUGAAAGAAAAAAGUGCAGAAGUUAAAAUUAAGUUUUUCAUAUGAGCACAUAAAAAAUAAUCAUGACAAAGUUCAGUUGUAUACAGGUUUGACAUGUAAUAAAUAUUUUUGUAAUCUUA
This 1810-nucleotide long non-coding RNA is filed under the name Anthonomus grandis grandis. RNAcentral's name for it is "uncharacterized LOC126743825". Lineage: Eukaryota; Metazoa; Arthropoda; Insecta; Coleoptera; Curculionidae. The record is from RNAcentral.